This 119-nucleotide ribosomal RNA is filed under the name Brassica oleracea var. oleracea. The record is from RNAcentral. Lineage: Eukaryota; Viridiplantae; Streptophyta; Magnoliopsida; Brassicales; Brassicaceae.
GGGUGCAAUCACACCAGCACUAAUGCACCGGAUCUCAUCAGAACUCCGCAGCUAUGCGCGCUUGGGCGAGAGUAGUAUUAGGAUGGGUGACCUCCCGUGAAGUCCUCGUGUUGCACUGC